This 325-nucleotide ribosomal RNA is filed under the name uncultured bacterium. RNAcentral's name for it is "bacterial SSU rRNA". It matches the Rfam family "Bacterial small subunit ribosomal RNA", at positions 28 to 334 of the family's 1533-position model. The record is from RNAcentral.
GACGAACGCUGGCGGCGCGCCUAACACAUGCAAGUCGAACGGGACUAUGCUGGAAGAAGUUUUCGGAUGGAUUUUGGUAUAGUUUAGUGGCGGACGGGUGAGUAACACGUGAGCAACCUGCCUUCGAGAGGGGAAUAACGGCUGGAAACGGUCGCUAAUACCGCAUAAUAUACAGGAGGGACAUCCCUUUUGUAUCAAAGAUUUAUCGCUCGAAGAUGGGCUCGCGUCCGAUUAGGUAGUUGGUGAGGUAACGGCCCACCAAGCCGACGAUCGGUAGCCGGACUGAGAGGUUGAACGGCCACAUUGGGACUGAGACACGGCCCAG